Molecule: ribosomal RNA, 497 nt
Filed under: uncultured bacterium
Lineage: Bacteria
Description: partial 16S ribosomal RNA
Rfam family: Bacterial small subunit ribosomal RNA
Source: RNAcentral
GACGAACGCUGGCGGCGUGCCUAAUACAUGCAAGUUGAGCGAUGAAGAUUGGUGCUUGCACCAAUUUGAAGAGCAGCGAACGGGUGAGUAACGCGUGGGGAAUCUGCCUUUGAGCGGGGGACAACAUUUGGAAACGAAUGCUAAUACCGCAUAACAACUUUAAACAUAAGUUUUAAGUUUGAAAGAUGCAAUUGCAUCACUCAAAGAUGAUCCCGCGUUGUAUUAGCUAGUUGGUGAGGUAAAGGCUCACCAAGGCGAUGAUACAUAGCCGACCUGAGAGGGUGAUCGGCCACAUUGGGACUGAGACACGGCCCAAACUCCUACGGGAGGCAGCAGUAGGGAAUCUUCGGCAAUGGACGAAAGUCUGACCGAGCAACGCCGCGUGAGUGAAGAAGGUUUUCGGAUCGUAAAACUCUGCUGGUAGAGAAGAACGUUGGUGAGAGUGGAAAGCUCAUCAAGUGACGGUAACUACCCAGAAAGGGACGGCUAACUACGUG